UUGAAGGUACAAACAUUAUUUUGGAGGAGCCGCCGACAAUCAAUCUCCAAUCAGAGGAGACUGUCGGCCUGUGACUCCAGGGCGACUAUGGAGGGGAUUUUUCUUAACAAUUCUCACAGCUAUAAUAUGAGUUUGUAGAAUAAAAAAAGCCUAGGCCUAAUUGUGUCACUGACAUAGCGGUUAUGUAAGGGAUAAUGGACAACACGGCGCUUGACUAUCCAUGGUUAAUGUACGUUGAACAUGUGGGGCCACCAUUGAACUUGAAACACAGACACACUGCGCAACAGUAAAUGCACGGCUCCUUUGUGUAGCAUUGCCUACAUACGGUCCAACAAGGACAAUCAAAUAACGAAUGACCUCUGAGAGUCUGUAACUACGGACUUCCCCCGUUCCGAUGACCCGGACUUCGCGCUCAAGAACCGCCUCAUCCUCGCGGCCAUCAAGGCGGCCCACCACCUGGACAACGCCUCCGGCCCGGACCCUCUCCCCAUCAUCGCCAGGCUCACCGGCUCCUUGACGGCCUCCAUCCGCAGCCGCCCUGCUGUCCCCAACGCCGCGACCCUUGGCUUCAUUGAUGGCAACGCUCGCAACUGGGGACACACCACCACCAUCCUCCUGCGGGACCACUACAGGGCUACGGUGGCCCAGAAGGUGAGUGAGCUCUCCUGCCUUGCGGACCCUGCCUGGCGGCGCAACUUUGAUGUGGCUGCCUCCUGGGCCGCUCGCCAGUACGGCCACCGCCUCCGCCAGGACACGCGGACGCCCUGCUGCAGGCUCGAGACCCCCUCCGGCCGCGCCCCUGCCGCAGAGGACGACGCCUACCUCCGCCCUGCCCUGGUGCCGGACCCUCGCCACUUCCCCUCUGCCAGCUCCUGCAUCUCCCGGCACGACACCUCCCCAUGUGUUUGCCCAGACCAGCGCUUCCGCCCUGCAACGGCGCCGGACCCUCGCCACGCCCCCUCUGCCAGCUCCUGCGUCUCCCGGCAUGACACCCCCCAGUGGGUCUGCCCAGACCAACCCUCGUCGGGACGCUGUCCCCGUCGGCACCCCCCUUGGCUCCACCCGCGCCCGGCUGACCUUCAACCCUCCGGCUGACAGCGCCAUCCUGGACACGCCCACCAGGAGGUCCACGAAACGCGUCAGCAACGCGAGAAGGUCCCGGAUGACCUUUGACCCGCCCGCGGACGUCGUCACGCCGAUCACGCACACGUGCAUGUUCUCCAGACGUGCCAGCACCGCCAGGAGGCUUGCAUCACUUACCAGGAAGCCUCGUUCGGCUGCUCCACUGCUGAGGGGCUCAUCAACGAGAACUCUCAGUAGCAUACCCCCAGGACGUCAUCACAUAGUGUGGGGUUGGGUUGGGGAUCCAGCCGGGCGUCUGAUUGGUCCCCCCGCUUCCGGGUAUCCAUCUUGGAAUGAUGACACGUGACGCACUUUCAUUGUGACGCUCUCCGAAUACCACAUGUUAUCGGCCUGUUUGGCGUCCUCUGUUGUCAGUCAUCACCUAUUGUCACCGUGCGGAAGUGUUGAUCCAGCCUGGCACCUGAUUGGUCCCCCCGUCUCCGGACAGCCAUCAUGGAUCGUGACGCGUUAUGCGUCUUUGUUGAAAAUUCAAAAGUGUUGAUCCAGCCUGGCACCUGAUUGGCCCUCCCGCCUCCCGGGUUGCCGUAGUCACUUCUGCGCAUGUCACGAACCGGUUCCUCUCCCUCCCCCUUGGGUCCCCCGCGACCCAUCUCCCCGGGGUUGGGACGCCCACACACGAACCGCCAGGGACCGGUCCCCCUUGCCCCCGACGCCCCCCUCCCUUCCUACCACCCUUCCCCCCCCUAGCCUCCCUUCCCUCCUCCCCCCUUCCCCCUCCUCCCCCCCUCCCCCUCUCCUUCCCCCUGCAGGCUCGAGACCCCCUCCGGCCGCGCCGCAGAGGACGGCGCACACCUCCGCCAAGCCCCGGCGCUGGACCCACGCCACGCCCCUCUGGUCAGCCCGUGCGUCCCCCCUUGGCUCCGCCCACGCCACGCCCCUCUGGUCAGCCCGUGCGUCCCCCCUUGGCUCCGCCCACGCCACGCCCCUCUGGUCAGCCCGUGUGUCCUCCCUUGGCUCCGCCCACGCCCGGCUGGCCCUCGAACAUCCCGGUUGAUGGCGUCGCCCCGGACACGCCCCCCAGGGGGCCCACACGCCACGUCAGCCCUUCAAAGAAAGCCUCACGGCCUUCUCCUGCCCUGCCGCUGCCGCGGAGUGAGCCCCGCCCUUCCGGGUCGUCUCUCCUCCAGCUCCUCGCCACGCCCCUUCGUACGACUACGACACCCCCCUGUCCGGCUGACCUUUGACCCUCCCGCGGACGGCGUCACCAGACACGCCCACCAGGAGGCCCAUCGGGCAUGCCAAGGUACUGGGGGCGAGUCCCUUCUUGUCCGUAGCUACGCGACCCGGAAAAAAGGCUUCUGAAAAAAGAAAGAACAGACCAAAAUGUCUCACGAUCGCUAGAUUGGGGACUUCAUAACCUUUGUGUUUUAAUGUGGGAGUGUGUCGAGGAUCUCGGGGAGUUGCAUGAUGAUGGCCCGUGCACCCGGAGUCUCCUUUAAUGCUUGUACCUAACCCUAACCGUUUCUCUAGCACCUUCCUGUCAAAAUAUAUUCACCGAGCACACUUAGGAUUUUGCUGUGCAAAGCCGCUACGGCCAGCAGCAUAUGUGAUGCCCGACUCCACAUCUCGGGGGGGGAAGGUCGCACAGACUCGGGCUUGGCGCCGUUGGAAAGCCGCUCCUCCCUUUGGGGGGGGGGGGGUGCGUCUGCCUCCCGUUUCUCUAGCACCUUCCUGUCAAAAGAUAUUCACCGAAAACGGCCUGCACCGGGGUGCACUUCGGUUAAAACACCCUAUCCUAACCCUAACCCUAACCUUUGUUGGUGUGCAACCUUUUUUAGUUUAUUGUUUCUAGAUCCAAUAAAUAUUUACUUUUUUAACUGCUUCUGGAAUAUACUUACUCAAUCUGGUCCACGUCGUGAAGUGAGUUGUUCAGACCUUCUCCUUUUGUCCUGGUGGUCUAUUGGGCGGUGAGUACCCCAACAUCUGUGUGUUCAGUUCAGUUUUUUCUAAAGUGUGUACACACUGCAAGGCUAUGAGAAGAUAAAACACACACAGAGAAACAACAGGGACACACUCCUGCCUUCCCCGAACAAUGCCAUUCCAACAUUAAGGCUUUUUUUCAUUACAGAAGAGAGUAUGGGUUUGUGAUUUUUGGGCGUGUGUCCAUGUGUGUGCAUAUAUAUACAUAUAUAUGUAUGUGUGUACACUGAAGACUAGACCGACACAACAUCUACUACGAUCUACUCAACCAACCGGCCCAACUCCACCCGCCCCCCCUCCCUUGAACCAUUCUAGGGUCACUUAUUGGGAACUACCACCAGCCCACAACCAGCUUACCACCAGCCUACCAGACGAUCAGCAACAUCUUGUUUCCUGACCUGAACACAAUCUACCUCCCAGCUAAGACAAUUCACCAUCGGACCAACCACAUCCCACCAACCCUCUACCUUUGACUUUUUCCUUUUUGGUUUUGCAUAGUUCAUUCCCUUACAUUUUUUAUUUUCAUUUCUUAUUUUUAGUUUACUCUACGAUCUGACUCACAGCUGCAUAACCACAACUACAUCUGUUCUAGCAAAUCUUUUUUUCAAUGCGAAUUGCGGUUUAACCUUAUGAUAGUUUGUUUUGCAUUUUUCUUCUGUUUUCCCUUUUUCGUUUCUUUUUUUAUACCCCAACCCCUUCCCCGCUUUUCUUUUUCUUUUGAAUUAGUCUGGGUCCCCCUUUAAAAUGGCUAACUCUUAUAAAAACAGAUUUAGCCUAUUGGGUACCUACAACACAGUACCACAGAAGCCUCCUCCUUCCAAGGUUACUCCUGUUGGGACAGACACAUCAAGCAAUUCAGAGUUUUUAUUAAGCAAAACAUAGUUUAAACUUCUCCAAUCGAUCCACCACACAGAGAUUCUGUCGGAAGCCCUCAUUA
This is a long non-coding RNA of Gadus morhua (Atlantic cod), 4000 nucleotides long. The record is from Ensembl. NCBI's taxonomy places the organism in Eukaryota, Metazoa, Chordata, Actinopteri, Gadiformes, Gadidae.